Molecule: ribosomal RNA, 1441 nt
Filed under: Staphylococcus aureus
Lineage: Bacteria; Bacillati; Bacillota; Bacilli; Caryophanales; Staphylococcaceae
Description: partial 23S ribosomal RNA
Rfam family: Bacterial large subunit ribosomal RNA
Source: RNAcentral
UUGAAGUUCAGGUAACACUGAAUGGAGGACCGAACCGACUUACGUUGAAAAGUGAGCGGAUGAACUGAGGGUAGCGGAGAAAUUCCAAUCGAACCUGGAGAUAGCUGGUUCUCUCCGAAAUAGCUUUAGGGCUAGCCUCAAGUGAUGAUUAUUGGAGGUAGAGCACUGUUUGGACGAGGGGCCCCUCUCGGGUUACCGAAUUCAGACAAACUCCGAAUGCCAAUUAAUUUAACUUGGGAGUCAGAACAUGGGUGAUAAGGUCCGUGUUCGAAAGGGAAACAGCCCAGACCACCAGCUAAGGUCCCAAAAUAUAUGUUAAGUGGAAAAGGAUGUGGCGUUGCCCAGACAACUAGGAUGUUGGCUUAGAAGCAGCCAUCAUUUAAAGAGUGCGUAAUAGCUCACUAGUCGAGUGACACUGCGCCGAAAAUGUACCGGGGCUAAACAUAUUACCGAAGCUGUGGAUUGUCCUUUGGACAAUGGUAGGAGAGCGUUCUAAGGGCGUUGAAGCAUGAUCGUAAGGACAUGUGGAGCGCUUAGAAGUGAGAAUGCCGGUGUGAGUAGCGAAAGACGGGUGAGAAUCCCGUCCACCGAUUGACUAAGGUUUCCAGAGGAAGGCUCGUCCGCUCUGGGUUAGUCGGGUCCUAAGCUGAGGCCGACAGGCGUAGGCGAUGGAUAACAGGUUGAUAUUCCUGUACCACCUAUAAUCGUUUUAAUCGAUGGGGGGACGCAGUAGGAUAGGCGAAGCGUGCGAUUGGAUUGCACGUCUAAGCAGUAAGGCUGAGUAUUAGGCAAAUCCGGUACUCGUUAAGGCUGAGCUGUGAUGGGGAGAAGACAUUGUGUCUUCGAGUCGUUGAUUUCACACUGCCGAGAAAAGCCUCUAGAUAGAAAAUAGGUGCCCGUACCGCAAACCGACACAGGUAGUCAAGAUGAGAAUUCUAAGGUGAGCGAGCGAACUCUCGUUAAGGAACUCGGCAAAAUGACCCCGUAACUUCGGGAGAAGGGGUGCUCUUUAGGGUUAACGCCCAGAAGAGCCGCAGUGAAUAGGCCCAAGCGACUGUUUAUCAAAAACACAGGUCUCUGCUAAACCGUAAGGUGAUGUAUAGGGGCUGACGCCUGCCCGGUGCUGGAAGGUUAAGAGGAGUGGUUAGCUUCUGCGAAGCUACGAAUCGAAGCCCCAGUAAACGGCGGCCGUAACUAUAACGGUCCUAAGGUAGCGAAAUUCCUUGUCGGGUAAGUUCCGACCCGCACGAAAGGCGUAACGAUUUGGGCACUGUCUCAACGAGAGACUCGGUGAAAUCAUAGUACCUGUGAAGAUGCAGGUUACCCGCGACAGGACGGAAAGACCCCGUGGAGCUUUACUGUAGCCUGAUAUUGAAAUUCGGCACAGCUUGUACAGGAUAGGUAGGAGCCUUUGAAACGUGAGCGCUAGCUUACGUGGAGG